AAUCAACGCUGGCGGCGUGCCUCAGACAUGCAAGUCGAACGCGAAAGUUCCCUUCGGGGGGCGAGUAGAGUGGCGCACGGGUGAGUAACACGUAGGUAAUCUACCUUUGGGUGGGGAAUAACAGCCGGAAACGGCUGCUAAUACCGCAUAAUGCAGCGGCUCGACAUCGAGACAGUUGUUAAAGCGGGGGAUCGCAAGACCUCGCGCCUAAAGAGGAGCCUGCGGCGGAUUAGCUAGUUGGUGAGGUAACGGCUCACCAAGGUGACGAUCCGUAGCCGGCCUGAGAGGGCGGUCGGCCACACUGACACUGACAUACGGGGUCAGACUCCUACGGGAGGCAGCAGUCGGGAAUUUUUGGGCAAUGGGCGAAAGACCUGACCCAGCAACGCCGCGUGAAGGAUGAAAUCCCUCGGGAUGUAAACUUCGCAAGAAUGGGAAGAAUUAGCGAGCGCUAUACCG
Molecule: ribosomal RNA, 459 nt
Filed under: uncultured bacterium
Lineage: Bacteria
Description: bacterial SSU rRNA
Rfam family: Bacterial small subunit ribosomal RNA
Source: RNAcentral